This 253-nucleotide ribosomal RNA is filed under the name uncultured bacterium. RNAcentral's name for it is "partial 16S ribosomal RNA". It matches the Rfam family "Bacterial small subunit ribosomal RNA", at positions 524 to 776 of the family's 1533-position model. The record is from RNAcentral.
UACGUAGGGCGCAAGCGUUAUCCGGAAUUAUUGGGCGUAAAGAGCUCGUAGGCGGUUUGUCGCGUCUGCCGUGAAAAUCCGGGGCUCAACUCCGGAUCUGCGGUGGGUACGGGCAGACUAGAGUGAUGUAGGGGAGACUGGAAUUCCUGGUGUAGCGGUGAAAUGCGCAGAUAUCAGGAGGAACACCGAUGGCGAAGGCAGGUCUCUGGGCAUUAACUGACGCUGAGGAGCGAAAGCAUGGGUAGCGAACAGG